Molecule: ribosomal RNA, 498 nt
Filed under: Triticum aestivum (bread wheat)
Lineage: Eukaryota; Viridiplantae; Streptophyta; Magnoliopsida; Poales; Poaceae
Description: partial small subunit ribosomal RNA
Source: RNAcentral
AUGGACAAAUUUGCUAUACACAAAAGGGUACUACAUGCUGAACUGAAUGCGGGUACUGUCUUUGUAACAAUAAAGCAAAUGAUUUAUUCCAUUGUCAAGGAGGGUGGCAUUGAUCUGAAGGCUAAAGAGGAUGAAGCUCGGGCUGUGUUUAGCAAGUUAGCUUUCGGGAAGCAUAAAACAAAGAACAUGGCGCAGUACGCUGAGAAGAAGAUGGAGAUUGCAGAUCGGUUGGGUUUGGACAAAAAGGUACUUGUUUUCCUUUUUAGGUGUGACCUUUAUCAAUGUACAAACCCUUGCUCUUGCCCUUCCCUCCCGUUAUUUUCCAAAUGCGCAUCCGUACUCAUUCACCGGUCCGUUGUCACACUUCACUCACGCACUGCUGCUUAUCCACCUCAUCGGCGACCGUGUUCCACCCCACCCCCUCACCCUCCACCAUCGUCCCCAACCACACAUUUGAGGCUCAUCCCUCAACCCCUCACGAUGACCCCAACAUUAUGA